GCACUUGCCUGCGGGGGAGAUACCAUGAUCACGAAGGUGGUUUUCCCAGGGCGAGGCUUAUCCAUUGCACUCUGGAUGUGCUGACCCCUGCGAUUUCCCCAAAUGCGGGAAAGUUGACUGAAUAAUUUGUGGUACAC
RNAcentral lists this small nuclear RNA (137 nucleotides) under Nannospalax galili (Upper Galilee mountains blind mole rat). RNAcentral describes it as "U1 spliceosomal RNA (ENSNGAG00000006077.1)". It matches the Rfam family "U1 spliceosomal RNA". Rfam says of the family: U1 is a small nuclear RNA (snRNA) component of the spliceosome (involved in pre-mRNA splicing). Its 5' end forms complementary base pairs with the 5' splice junction, thus defining the 5' donor site of an intron. Lineage: Eukaryota; Metazoa; Chordata; Mammalia; Rodentia; Spalacidae. The record is from Rfam by way of RNAcentral.